GCCCCUGGAGGAGAACACUCGCACU
This 25-nucleotide non-coding RNA is filed under the name Cricetulus griseus (Chinese hamster). Lineage: Eukaryota; Metazoa; Chordata; Mammalia; Rodentia; Cricetidae. The record is from RNAcentral.